GUCCACGCCGUAAACGAUGAUAACUAGCUGUCCGGGCUCAUGGAGUCUGGGUGGCGCAGCUAACGCAUUAAGUUAUCCGCCUGGGGAGUACGGUCGCAAGAUUAAAACUCAAAAGGAAUUGACGGGGGGCCUGCACAAGCGGUGGAGCAUGUGGUUUAAUUCGAAGCAACGCGCAGAACCUUACCAGCUUUUGACAUCCCGAUCGCGAUUACCAGAGAUGGUUUUCUCAGUUCGGCUGGAUCGGUGACAGGUGCUGCAUGGCUGUCGU
RNAcentral lists this ribosomal RNA (268 nucleotides) under uncultured bacterium. Its description in RNAcentral is "partial 16S ribosomal RNA". It matches the Rfam family "Bacterial small subunit ribosomal RNA", at positions 793 to 1055 of the family's 1533-position model. The record is from RNAcentral.